GGGGGCGAUUUGGGUUCGACGGGAGGAAUGAGACUAAGGUUGCAUGCACGGGAUGCCGUUGGCCCGUAAAAAAACGGCACUCACAUAAUCGCCAACGAUUAUGAAGUUGCUGUAGCUGCUUAAUAAAAUAAGCUAGUUACCGUCCGCUUUUCCCCCGCCCACAGGGAAAAGGCCGGGCGUCAUUAAAGUGGGCUGGCCAGGCUUUCAUGUCUCGGGGAAACUGGCGAGAACUCACGAGACUGGCCCGGAAGACACCCUGCCCUUGGGGGGACGACCGGGUGAGAUCCAAAACAAGGGACAAGCAUGUAGACGCCUUAAGUUAAAACCUUUCGGACGGGGGUUCAAUUCCCCCCGCCUCCACCA
Molecule: transfer-messenger RNA, 363 nt
Filed under: Nitrospinaceae
Lineage: Bacteria; Pseudomonadati; Nitrospinota; Nitrospinia; Nitrospinales
Also listed under: 1 other name
Description: SZUA-259 sp020343535 Standard tmRNA
Rfam family: transfer-messenger RNA
About the family: Bacterial tmRNA, also known as 10Sa RNA or SsrA, is named for its dual tRNA and mRNA-like properties. Its role is to liberate the mRNA from a stalled ribosome.
Source: RNAcentral